AUUGAUUUUAUGCUUGCAUAAAUGAUUUUUGGAUUCGGAGCGAGUGGCGAGCUGGUGAGUAACACGUGGGUAACCUGCCCCGAAGCGGGGGAUAACAUUUGGAAACAAAUGCUAAUACCGCAUAAUUAGUCAGAACCGCAUGGUUCCGACUUGAAAGAUGGCUCUGCUAUCACUUCGGGAUGGACCCGCGCCGUAUUAGUUAGUUGGUGAGAUAAAAGCCCACCAAGACGAUGAUACGUAGCCGACCUGAGAGGGUAAUCGGCCACAUUGGGACUGAGACACGGCCCAGACUCCUACGGGAGGCAGCAGUAGGGAAUCUUCCACAAUGGACGAAAGUCUGAUGGAGCAACGCCGCGUGAGUGAUGAAGGGUUUCGGCUCGUAAAACUCUGUUGUUAAAGAAGAACAAGCAUGAGAGUAACUGUUCAUGCUUUGACGGUAUUUAACCAGAAAGCCACGGCUAACUACGUGCCAGCAGCCGCGGUAAUACGUAGGUGGCAAGCGUUGUCCGGAUUUAUUGGGCGUAAAGCGAGCGCAGGCGGUUUUGUAAGUCUGCUGUGAAAGCCCUCAGCUCAACUGAGGAAGUGCAGUGGAAACUACAAAACUUGAGUACAGAAGAGGAAAGUGGAACUCCAUGUGUAGCGGUGAAAUGCGUAGAUAUAUGGAAGAACACCAGUGGCGAAGGCGGCUUUCUGGUCUGUUACUGACGCUGAGGCUCGAAAGCAUGGGUAGCGAACAGGAUUAGAUACCCUGGUAGUCCAUGCCGUAAACGAUGAAUACUAGGUGUUGGAGGGUUUCCGCCCUUCAGUGCCGCAGCUAACGCAUUAAGUAUUCCGCCUGGGGAGUACGACCGCAAGGUUGAAACUCAAAGGAAUUGACGGGGGCCCGCACAAGUGGUGGAGCAUGUGGUUUAAUUCGAUGCUACGCGAAGAACCUUACCAGCUCUUGACAUCUUCUGCCAACCUAAGAGAUUAGGCGUUCCCUUCGGGGACAGAAUGACAGGUGGUGCAUGGUUGUCGUCAGCUCGUGUCGUGAGAUGUUGGGUUAAGUCCCGCAACGAGCGCAACCCUUAUUAUUAGUUGCCAGCAUUUAGUUGGGCACUCUAGUGAGACUGCCGGUGAUAAA
RNAcentral lists this ribosomal RNA (1123 nucleotides) under uncultured bacterium. RNAcentral's name for it is "bacterial SSU rRNA". It matches the Rfam family "Bacterial small subunit ribosomal RNA", at positions 47 to 1162 of the family's 1533-position model. The record is from RNAcentral.